AACGCACAUUGCGCCCCUUGGCAUUCCGAGGGGCAUGCCUGUUCGAGCGUCAUUACACAUACUCAAGCCUCGCUUGGUGUUGGAGGACGCGGCACGCCGCGCCUCCCGAACCCGUCGGCUGGGCACACCCGUCUCUUAGCGUUGUGGACAUACGAUCGCUUCCCGAGACCACCGGGUGCCGCCUCCAGGCCGUGAAACCCCCAAAACCUCAAUGUUGACCUCGGAUCAGGUAGGGAUACCCGCUGAACUUAA
RNAcentral lists this unclassified non-coding RNA (252 nucleotides) under uncultured fungus. RNAcentral describes it as "partial contains 5.8S ribosomal RNA, internal transcribed spacer 2, and large subunit ribosomal RNA". Lineage: Eukaryota; Fungi. The record is from RNAcentral.